Molecule: ribosomal RNA, 230 nt
Filed under: uncultured Enterobacterales bacterium
Lineage: Bacteria; Pseudomonadati; Pseudomonadota; Gammaproteobacteria; Enterobacterales
Description: partial 16S ribosomal RNA
Rfam family: Bacterial small subunit ribosomal RNA
Source: RNAcentral
CGGACGGGUGAGUAAUGUCUGGGAAACUGCCUGAUGAGGGGAUAACUACUGGAAACGGUAGCUAAUACCGCAUAACGUCGCAAGACCAAAGAGGGGGACCUUCGGGCCUCUUGCCAUCGGAUGUGCCCAGAUGGGAUUAGCUAGUAGGUGGGGUAACGGCUCACCUAGGCGACGAUCCCUAGCUGGUCUGAGAGGAUGACCAGCCACACUGGAACUGAGACACGGUCCAG